This is a non-coding RNA of Ustilago trichophora, 108 nucleotides long. The record is from the annotation of a GenBank genome assembly. Lineage: Eukaryota; Fungi; Basidiomycota; Ustilaginomycetes; Ustilaginales; Ustilaginaceae.
UCCCGGCUAGCUCAGUCGGUAGAGCGUCAGACUCUUAUGAUACAAGGGUUUUCGAGCAUGUUCUCGGAGUUCAUCUGAAUGUCGUGGGUUCGAGCCCCACGUUGGGAG